UACUUGAGCAGGGUCCCCAACGCCGGA
This 27-nucleotide non-coding RNA is filed under the name Homo sapiens (human). The record is from RNAcentral. Lineage: Eukaryota; Metazoa; Chordata; Mammalia; Primates; Hominidae.